RNAcentral lists this ribosomal RNA (89 nucleotides) under Segatella bryantii. The record is from RNAcentral. Lineage: Bacteria; Pseudomonadati; Bacteroidota; Bacteroidia; Bacteroidales; Prevotellaceae.
CCACCUCUUCCCAUUCCGAACAGAGAAGUUAAGCCCACUUACGCCGAUGGUACUGCAAUGCAAUGCGGGAGAGUAGGUAGCCGCCUCCU